RNAcentral lists this long non-coding RNA (295 nucleotides) under Rattus norvegicus (Norway rat). RNAcentral's name for it is "long non-coding RNA NONRATT033804". Lineage: Eukaryota; Metazoa; Chordata; Mammalia; Rodentia; Muridae. The record is from RNAcentral.
CUGCAGGGCCCAAGAGCCUCCUUUCUCUGGGCCAAAUAUCUCUAAACUCCAAUGUCUUCAUUGGCUUUGUGAGUUUGCACACGUACUUUGGCAAGGCUCCACUUCCUCGUGAGUAAGAAGAGUAUAAUCAUGCAGAGGCAGAAGAGUGGGAUGGAAGAGAGGGUCAGAGGGCAUCAGCGACAACCCUCCUCACCACCAAGGGCAACAGCAGCUGGGAACAUCUGUGCUGCCGCUGAAUCCCGGACGAUUUGAGGCAACCAAACGUGAACAAAGAAGCUAUUCACGAUGUGCUGGG